This 1668-nucleotide long non-coding RNA is filed under the name Anas platyrhynchos platyrhynchos (common mallard). Its description in RNAcentral is "lncRNA (ENSAPLG00000016505.1)". The record is from RNAcentral. Lineage: Eukaryota; Metazoa; Chordata; Aves; Anseriformes; Anatidae.
AAUAAAUAAGGAGAUCACACAGAGCCAGCAGGAAUUGUCUAUACAGCUAAGGAGGACGUGGCUUACAGCUGGCAUGUCUAACAGGAGGAGAAAAGUAGCCAGAAAAACAGUAUAAAUUAAAACAACCUUCAUCUCAGGGCUAAAUUCUCCUUUAGCUUCUUUGGGAAUUCCAAAGGAUGAGAUGUGGGGCCUGUAUACUUGCAUUUGAAUACAAUAAAAUUGUACCUUAGGCUGGUGUCAGAAUCUGGGAGGGUAUUGCAAAGAAAGAGGAGUCAUUACUUGCUUUUAUAACAUCUUUUUCAAACAUUUCUGCCUGCCUAUGUCUGGGCACGGGACUCUAUCUGUGACCUGGUCUAAGGCGACUGCCUUACAUCAGUGCGUUUAUAAGGACACAUGGAUUCUGGAGAGAGAUGACUUUUCAAGCGUGUCCCCCCGGCUCGUGAAGAUUUAAUUCAGUUCUGCUGUGGUGGCAGAUGAAGUCAUUUUAAGGGCAAGAUGUUGCCUUGCCUCACACCUACACAGCCUGAAGGAUUCUUCUGUAUCCUCAUGUCUUCUCCAGCCCCUCUGCACAUAAGCUGCAAAUAUUCAGACUUCUUGGCUCACCCUCACCAAUGUGUAACUUAAACCCUCAUCUGUGUGACCCCUGACUUUUGCCUCAAACCUUACAACUUGUAUAUCAUUACCGAGUUCCUGCUCCAUCAUUCCUGGGCCUCCUUUUGACUUUUCCAUCAGAUUCACUGGAGGUGGAGUUCCCAUCUUUUUCCAAUAUUCUUCCACCAAGCGCUCUCAUUCCUGGGGCCGCUCCAUAAUGCAUAAUGCUUCUCUCAUGUUCCUGCCAGGUCAAGAUAAUAUAAGCUGCAGCUCUGCAAAACUGAAGGAAAAUCUUCAGAUAAUCACUGCGAAGGCACAACAGAAGAUGCAGCUGGAUUUCUGCAGGGGAAGCAGCUGUGGGCUCUGUUUCGAACGGGUAGGAUUUGGGAAAAUUCCUAAAGGCUGGGAAUAUGUGUGGCAUUUGUAAAGUACAACAUACCUGGCAGAUACAGAGCUAACAUCAAUGUUUAUUAUACCAAUAACACCUGUGGCCUCCAAGAGCUGAGUGCUCAACAGAAAAGAGACAUUCAGGGGCUUGCUAGUCUGCUGUGACUUGCUUUAGAUGUUAGUUCAAUUCCAGUCUGGUUUGACAGCAGUGAAAAACUGCUAUCUCCUCCCUGCCUGGAAUUAGUAAAAAUAUUUAUGUCAUUUUACAGAAGCCAUGGUUGUCCCUGGUGAUAUCUUGUCAUCAGUGAGGUGGGUGGUGAAGGAGCUGCUUCUUCCUCCAGGUUCACCAAUAGCUGAUUCCCCUUCUAUUAUCUCUGAAGACCUCACAAGCCUUUCAUAUUAUUUGACCAAGGCAUGCCACUUCCAAACUUUGUAGGGUGAUAUCUGACCUGGUAUCUCAGCUGGCAAGCCUGACUUCUUUGCCCUACCUGACCCACCGUCUCCAGAGUAACUUCUUGCAAUGAGAUAAACUCAGAGUAACUUAUUGCAGUGGGAUCUACAUAAAGAGAUGCAGAUUCCUCAAGUCAAAGCAAGGGAUGGCUUGUUACGUAGUGACCUUUCAGUCACUUACUUAUUGAUUGCACAGAAUCCAAAGCGUGUCCAUAAUUUUAUGCUAACUUGAUGCCUGAG